This 75-nucleotide transfer RNA is filed under the name Bryobacterales bacterium. RNAcentral describes it as "tRNA-Val". It matches the Rfam family "tRNA". From Rfam's summary of the family: Transfer RNA (tRNA) molecules are approximately 80 nucleotides in length. Their secondary structure includes four short double-helical elements and three loops (D, anti-codon, and T loops). RNAcentral also lists the same sequence under 3 other names. Lineage: Bacteria; Pseudomonadati; Acidobacteriota; Terriglobia; Bryobacterales. The record is from RNAcentral.
GCGCGCUUAGCUCAGUGGAAGAGCACUUCCUUCACACGGAAGGGGUCGCAGGUUCAAAUCCUGCAGCGCGCACCA